GCAAGGUGAUUCCACUUUGAGGGCUCUCUCAUUCUCUCUUAGUUCUCACUCUCCGACCUUGCGAGCCGAGCGACUCAACCCUUCCCACCAUGCUGCGCCAAGCCACACGCCUCCUGGCUCGACCUGCCAUCGCCUCCUCCUCCUCCUUCGCCGCCAGGGCUCGCUCCUUCUCCACCGAUCUCCCCACCGCUCCGGCUGAAGAUUCCACCUUCAUCGAUGCCUGGAAGAAAAUCAUUCCAAAUAUUGACCCACCCGCAACCCCUCUCACUUUCAUGCAACCUCGACCACAGACUCCCUCUUCCAUUCCUUCUAAGCUCACGGUCAACUUCGUUCUUCCUUAUGCCUCUGAGCUCUCCGCCAAGGAGGUCAGUCCCAGUGAACCCGAACCCCCUUUCUGAUUUGGGAUUUACUUGGAUUUGUCGUUGAUUGGUUGUUUUAGGGUUUGGCUUUGUUUGAUCUGAUUGUGGGUGGCAUUUGUUCUGGUGGGGAAUUUGGUUUUUGUUGUAGAUUUGAUGAUUCCGAAAACAAUUUUAGGUUUUUAUGUGAAAACCCCAUUUUCCCCAAAUGGGUGAUUAGGGUUGUGCAUUAUUCACAUUUAUGAGAAAUCUCUGUAAAAUUUUAGGUUCGGGACUAAGAAAUGCUAUAUAUCGUGAGAGAUUAUUUUGCAAAUAUUUAAAUACUACGCG
This 686-nucleotide long non-coding RNA is filed under the name Vitis vinifera (wine grape). RNAcentral describes it as "long non-coding RNA (VVIN_LNC005091)". Lineage: Eukaryota; Viridiplantae; Streptophyta; Magnoliopsida; Vitales; Vitaceae. The record is from RNAcentral.